This 420-nucleotide ribosomal RNA is filed under the name uncultured bacterium. Its description in RNAcentral is "partial 16S ribosomal RNA". It matches the Rfam family "Bacterial small subunit ribosomal RNA", at positions 338 to 755 of the family's 1533-position model. The record is from RNAcentral.
ACUACGGGUGGCAGCAGUGAGGAAUAUUGGUCAAUGGGCGCGAGCCUGAACCAGCCAAGUCGCGUGAGGGAAGACGGUCCUAUGGAUUGUAAACCUCUUUUGUCGGGGAGCAAAAGACGCCACGCGUGGCGUUCCGAGAGUACCCGAAGAAAAAGCAUCGGCUAACUCCGUGCCAGCAGCCGCGGUAAUACGGAGGAUGCGAGCGUUAGCCGGAUUUAAUGGGGUUAAAGGGAGCGUAGAUGGGUUGUUCAGGCAGUUGUGUAAUUUUGCGGCUCAACCGUAAAAUUGCAAUUGAUACUGGCAGUCUUGAGUACAGUUGAGGUAGGCGGAAUUCGUGGUGUAGCGGUGAAAUGCUUAGAUCUCACGAAGAACCCCGAUUGCGAAGGCAGCUUACUAAACUGUGACUGCCAUUGAUGCUCG